RNAcentral lists this ribosomal RNA (460 nucleotides) under uncultured bacterium. RNAcentral describes it as "partial 16S ribosomal RNA". It matches the Rfam family "Bacterial small subunit ribosomal RNA", at positions 338 to 795 of the family's 1533-position model. The record is from RNAcentral.
CCUACGGGAGGCAGCAGUGAGGAAUAUUGGUCAAUGGCCGGAAGGCUGAACCAGCCAUGCCGCGUGAAGGUCAGUGCCCUAUGGGCGUUAAACUUCUUUUGUGCGGGAGCAAUAAUGGUCACGUGUGGCCAGACGAGAGUACCGUACGAAUAAGCAUCGGCUAAAUCCGUGCCAGCAGCCGCCGUAAUAAGGGGGAUGCAAGCGUUAUCCGGAUUUAUUGGGUUUAAAGGGUGCGUAGGCUGUGAGGUAAGGCAGCGUUUAAAUGCCCCCGCUUCACGGGGUGAAGUGCAAUUGAUACUGGCUUGCUGGAAUGCGGAUGGGGUGGGAGGAAUGUGUGGUGUAGCGGUGAAAUGCAUAGAUAUCACACAGAACACCGAUUGCGAAGGCAUCUCACGAAUCCGCGAUUGACGCUGAUGCACGAAAGCGUGGGUAUCAAACAGGAUGAGAUACCCUAGUAGUC